RNAcentral lists this ribosomal RNA (447 nucleotides) under uncultured bacterium. RNAcentral describes it as "bacterial SSU rRNA". It matches the Rfam family "Bacterial small subunit ribosomal RNA", at positions 43 to 485 of the family's 1533-position model. The record is from RNAcentral.
CAGGCCUAACACAUGCAAGUCGAGCGGAGUUGUGGUGCUUGCACCAUAACUUAGCGGCGGACGGGUGAGUAAUGCUUAGGAAUCUGCCUAUUAGUGGGGGACAACGUUUCGAAAGGAACGCUAAUACCGCAUACGUCCUACGGGAGAAAGCAGGGGAUCUUCGGACCUUGCGCUAAUAGAUGAGCCUAAGUCGGAUUAGCUAGUUGGUGGGGUAAAGGCCUACCAAGGCGACGAUCUGUAGCGGGUCUGAGAGGAUGAUCCGCCACACUGGGACUGAGACACGGCCCAGACUCCUACGGGAGGCAGCAGUGGGGAAUAUUGGACAAUGGGGGGAACCCUGAUCCAGCCAGGCCGCGUGUGUGAAGAAGGCCUUUUGGUUGUAAAGCACAUUGAGCGAGGAGGAGGCUUACCUAGUUAAUACCUGGGAUAAGUGGACGUACUCGCAGA